RNAcentral lists this long non-coding RNA (616 nucleotides) under Sorghum bicolor (sorghum). RNAcentral describes it as "long non-coding RNA (SBIC_LNC007961)". The record is from RNAcentral. Lineage: Eukaryota; Viridiplantae; Streptophyta; Magnoliopsida; Poales; Poaceae.
GCCGGCGCGGGGCCCUGCAGCCCGCGUGGACAGCCGCCGGUAAGGGUCUGCAGCAACAAGAGCUGCUGCUGAAUUUUUGGAGCAGACUCUGCCUCUUGCCACCAACAGAUGCCUCUGCUUCUUCGUUGAAUUCCUGGUGCCAUCUGCGCUGUGUGAUAGGACAAUUCAUAGGAUCAUGUACCUGCAGGUAUUUUGUACAAUGAUUAAACUGAAGUACUCCUUUCAUCCUCGUUAAUGUAAGCCAUAUUUUGGUCAAAAAAUCUCCCUUUUUUCGAUGAUACAACGAUGCCGGACAUAUAUUAAUACAGAGCAAAUAUUUUUUUUUUUGAUUUGUUUCUUUUAUAACUUAUAAUUAUAUGCUAUAAUUGCUACAAAAUAGUAAUAUCAUCAUAAAAGUUAUUUUAAAAGUGAGACAAAUACUACUUUUGUGAACAUGCAUAUAAUCUGAUUUUUUUAAUAGAAUGCCAUUAGAUGAAUUUUCAUAACAUAAAUACAGAAAAUUCAUGGUCCAAUCUAUGUAUAGAGCUUUGAUAAACCUUAUUGUCAUCCCAAGCACCCGCUUCAUUUGGAAAUUAAAGCUUCCUCUCAAUGUUGGUGGUAUCUAAAAAAGGACUCG